GACGAACGCUGGCGGCGUGCCUAACACAUGCAAGUCAACUUGACUGAAGGAGCAAUCUGACAGUAGAGUGGCGCAAGGGUGCGUAACGCGUAAGUAACUUGCCCCAAGGUAAGGAAUAACGUCGAGAAAUCGGCGCUAAUACCUCAUAAUGCAGCGGAUCCGCAUGGAUAUGUUGUUAAAGGUUUACCGCCUUGGGAUAGGCUUGCGUCUGAUUAGUUAGUUGGUGUGGUAACGGCACACCAAGGCUACGAUCAGUAACUGGUCUGAGAGGAUGAUCAGUCACACUGGAACUGAGACACGGUCCAGACUCCUACGGGAGGCAGCAGUGAGGAAUAUUGGGCAAUGCUCGAAAGAGUGACCCAGCAACGCCGCGUGGAGGAUGAAGGUAUUCUAUAUCGUAAACUCCUGUGAGAGCAGACGAAAGACAGAUUAUUAAUCUGGAUGACUGUAUGCUCAGAGGAAGCCCCGGCU
This 471-nucleotide ribosomal RNA is filed under the name uncultured bacterium. RNAcentral describes it as "bacterial SSU rRNA". It matches the Rfam family "Bacterial small subunit ribosomal RNA", at positions 28 to 498 of the family's 1533-position model. The record is from RNAcentral.